AGCUCUAUCGCCAAAAGGUAAGGCACAGGGCUUUGAUCCCUGCACUUGCCGGUUCGAAUCCGGCUAGAGCUG
RNAcentral lists this transfer RNA (72 nucleotides) under Clostridium sp. AM42-36. Its description in RNAcentral is "tRNA-Gln". It matches the Rfam family "tRNA". From Rfam's summary of the family: Transfer RNA (tRNA) molecules are approximately 80 nucleotides in length. Their secondary structure includes four short double-helical elements and three loops (D, anti-codon, and T loops). Further hydrogen bonds mediate the characteristic L-shaped molecular structure. tRNAs have two regions of fundamental functional importance: the anti-codon, which is responsible for specific mRNA codon recognition, and the 3' end, to which the tRNAs corresponding amino acid is attached (by aminoacyl-tRNA synthetases). tRNAs cope with the degeneracy of the genetic code in two manners: having more than one tRNA (with a specific anti-codon) for a particular amino acid; and 'wobble' base-pairing, i.e. permitting non-standard base-pairing at the 3rd anti-codon position. Lineage: Bacteria; Bacillati; Bacillota; Clostridia; Eubacteriales; Clostridiaceae. RNAcentral also lists the same sequence under 1 other name. The record is from RNAcentral.